Molecule: ribosomal RNA, 504 nt
Filed under: uncultured bacterium
Lineage: Bacteria
Description: bacterial SSU rRNA
Rfam family: Bacterial small subunit ribosomal RNA
Source: RNAcentral
UGAAAGAUGGGCUCGCGUCUGAUUAGAUAGUUGGUGGGGUAACGGCCCACCAAGUCGACGAUCAGUAGCCGGACUGAGAGGUUGAACGGCCACAUUGGGACUGAGAUACGGCCCAGACUCCUACGGGAGGCAGCAGUGGGGAAUAUUGGGCAAUGGGGGAAACCCUGACCCAGCAACGCCGCGUGAAGGAAGAAGGCUUUCGGGUUGUAAACUUCUUUUACCAGGGACGAAGAAAGUGACGGUACCUGGAGAAAAAGCCACGGCUAACUACGUGCCAGCAGCCGCGGUAAUACGUAGGUGGCAAGCGUUGUCCGGAUUUACUGGGUGUAAAGGGCGUGUAGGCGGAGAUGCAAGUCAGAUGUGAAAUCCCCGGGCUUAACCCGGAAACUGCAUUUGAAACUGUAUCCCUUGAGUAUCGGAGAGGCAGGCGGAAUUCCUAGUGUAGCGGUGAAAUGCGUAGAUAUUAGGAGGAACACCAGUGGCGAAGGCGGCCUGCUGGACGAC